RNAcentral lists this ribosomal RNA (253 nucleotides) under uncultured bacterium. Its description in RNAcentral is "partial 16S ribosomal RNA". It matches the Rfam family "Bacterial small subunit ribosomal RNA", at positions 524 to 776 of the family's 1533-position model. The record is from RNAcentral.
UACAGAGGGGGCAAGCGUUGUUCGGAAUUACUGGGCGUAAAGGGCGCGUAGGUGGCCUUCUAAGUUGAACGUGAAAUCCCUGGGCUCAACCCAGGAACUGCGUCCAAGACUGGGAGGCUUGAAUCCGGGAGAGGGACCUGGAAUUCCGGGUGGAGCGGUGAAAUGCGUAGAGAUCCGGAGGAACACCACUGGCGCAGGCAAGGUCCUGGCUCGUAUCUGACGCUGAGGUGCGAAAGCUAGGGGAGCGAACGGG